GACGAACGCUGGCGGCGUGCUUAACACAUGCAAGUCGAGCGGUAAGGCCCUUUCGGGGGUACACGAGCGGCGAACGGGUGAGUAACACGUGGGUGACCUGCCCUCAGCUCUGGGAUAAGCCCGGGAAACUGGGUCUAAUACUGGAUAUGACUCCAUGACGCAUGUUGUGGGGUGGAAAGCCUUGUGCGGCUGAGGAUGGGCCCGCGGCCUAUCAGCUUGUUGGUGGGGNGAUGGCCUACCAAGGCGACGACGGGUAGCCGGCCUGAGAGGGCGACCGGCCACACUGGGACUGAGACACGGCCCAGACUCCUACGGGAGGCAGCAGUGGGGAAUCUUGCGCAAUGGGCGAAAGCCUGACGCAGCGACGCCGCGUGAGGGAUGACGGCCUCGGU
Molecule: ribosomal RNA, 392 nt
Filed under: uncultured bacterium
Lineage: Bacteria
Description: bacterial SSU rRNA
Rfam family: Bacterial small subunit ribosomal RNA
Source: RNAcentral